ACGCUCGACACCUACGGGAGGUAGCAGUGGGGAAUAUUGCACAAUGGGGGAAACCCUGAUGCAGCGACGCCGCGUGAAGGAAGAAGUAUUUCGGUAUGUAAACUUCUAUCAGCAGGGAAGAAAAUGACGGUACCUGACUAAGAAGCCCCGGCUAACUACGUGCCUGCAGCCGCGGUAAUCUGAGCGGGCUGGCAAGGC
Molecule: ribosomal RNA, 198 nt
Filed under: uncultured bacterium
Lineage: Bacteria
Description: partial 16S ribosomal RNA
Rfam family: Bacterial small subunit ribosomal RNA
Source: RNAcentral